CCCAAGGCCGGGCCGGACCAGGAGAGGGCAGGCGGGGGCUCCCCCUCGGCGGUGCAGAGCGCGCGGAAGGCGUGCGAGGGGCCUGGUAGCACCGAGAUGUUGACGAUCCGGGGUGCAGCUGCAGGGGGAAGAAGGAAGGCGCGGGUCACCGGACAGAGGACAGUGCCCUGGGAGCGUGAGAGAGGCGACGGUUUGCCAGCACUUCGUGGUGUGACCACCUUUCAAGACACUGGACAGAGGGAGGCUGUGAGACCAUUGUCUUCUCACAAGUCAAUGUCACAAGGUGUACUACCCCAGGUGUGACAUCUCACUACCUUGUAGCUCAGGAGCUGAGCUAAGGGGCUGUAGCCACCUGGAGCUUCACUAGACUGAGAUGUCAGUGACCGACAGCCGAUCAUUGGAAAAUAUUUGAGAAGUAAAGGAACAGAGCAGCAGAGACGGAAAGAGGAGUGAGAGUCUGACUACUAAACUGCAGGCUGUCCAUCCAUGAAGACUUGCGGUGCGGAGCUGGGACCGGCUUAUGCCAGGGAAGCUUCUGCACAGUGCACAGCUGUGUGGAGGUGAUUCCCCGAUUGCAUUAGAAAAGGCCCUUAACCCUCAGUGAGAGCCUGGAUUUCACCGGCAAUGACAGUGGACUGUUAUGGGAAUCCUCCAGAACUUGGAGUUAUGCAUGAGGAUGGUGGAGAGCUCUGUAGACUGGACUCCCUCAGUGUUGGUCAGUGGACAACGAUGACAACAUCUCCAAGUCAAGAGAUGCUACCGUGCCAGCCCCAGGAAGAUUCAGUCACUUCAAUGGAACUGUCGUUUUGAUUUUUUUUUUUAGUACUAAGAAAAGUAAAAGAAACUUGAGAAGUAACACAUGUAAAUAUAAAAAUAUGACUUAUCUUCUAAAUAAUAAAUUACCAAGGAAAUGAGGGUGCCCCCCCACUCCUCAGCCCCAGGGAUGAAAUGCAGGGACUUGUAUAUGCUAAACAAGUGCUCUACCAUUGGACAGCACACCUAGCCCAGAAUCAUGUUUCGGUGCAGCAAAAACACUGAGGGACUAAUCCUGGGAUGUGUGGCUUUCCCUCAGCCCAGGAGCUGAGCUGGCUUGUGCAUUGCCCAUGAAAGGAGAUAACUAUGUUAAACUGGUGAUGGACACAAGACAUAAAGGGGACUGUUAAACCACUGUCUUUUCGAGAACUCAGGAGCAUUUUGCUUAAAGUUGCAAUAAAUAAUUGUAUCACUAAAGGAGACUUCAGUAGGCUCUUUCCUGGUGGUAGAUGAGUUCUAGCUAUCAUACACAGCUGGUAAUACUCAGAUUGGUCCCUUGUUCAGAGGAGAAGAAUAAAAGACUAUCCGUGAUCCUCCGGCCUCUGACGAAAGAAUAAACAGAGAGUUCUGUGGAAUGAA
Long non-coding RNA from Peromyscus californicus insignis, 1392 nucleotides. RefSeq lists it as uncharacterized. The record is from RefSeq and is a predicted model, not a curated record. Lineage: Eukaryota; Metazoa; Chordata; Mammalia; Rodentia; Cricetidae. The transcript is spliced from 5 exons.